GUUGAACGCUGGCGGCAGGCCUAACACAUGCAAGUCGAGCGGAUGAACGGUGCUUGCUCCCGUUUUCCGCUGCCGACGGGCGGGUGAUUCCUAGGUAUCUGCCUUGCAGUUUUGGCUAAGGUCCGUACACGGGCGCUCAUACCGCAUCCGUUCAUAUGUCGAACGUGGGGGAUCUUCGGACCUCCCGCUCUCUGCUGAGCCUAUGAGGGAUUAGCUAGUUGGUGGGGUAAAGGCCUACCAAGGCGACGAUCCGUAGCUGGUCUGAGAGGAUGAUCAGUCACACUGGAACUGAGACACGGUCCAGACUCCUACGGGAGGCAGCAGUGGGGAAUAUUGGACAAUGGGCGAAAGCCUGAUCCAGCCAUGCCGCGUGUGUGAAGAAGGUCUUCGGAUUGUAAAGCACUUUUAGUAGGGAAGAAGAGCAGUAAGUUAAUACCUGGCUGUUUUGACGGUACCAAAAGAAUAAGCACCGGCUAACUUCGUG
RNAcentral lists this ribosomal RNA (484 nucleotides) under uncultured bacterium. RNAcentral describes it as "partial 16S ribosomal RNA". It matches the Rfam family "Bacterial small subunit ribosomal RNA", at positions 28 to 507 of the family's 1533-position model. The record is from RNAcentral.